This 1126-nucleotide long non-coding RNA is filed under the name Scleropages formosus (Asian bonytongue). RNAcentral's name for it is "lncRNA (ENSSFOG00015024870.1)". The record is from RNAcentral. Lineage: Eukaryota; Metazoa; Chordata; Actinopteri; Osteoglossiformes; Osteoglossidae.
CAUCGACAUGCCUUGAGCCUGAGGUUUGACUUCUGUAUUAAAUCGGUGACAGAUACGUGCAGGCGUAUGUAUGGGGAGGGGCAUAAGAGUUCGCAGAUCAUAAACAUCCGUACACAGAAUGUGUAUAAAAGGGCACUGGAGUCAGAUCAGAGCACAAUCACACACAAUCAAGAGCGAACAGGUCUUGGCUUCAACAAAGUGACCAUGGGAGGUGCAGAAAGCUCUAACACACACGUUGCCAACGCGACUGGAAAACCCAUCCGCAUUUACUACAGUGUGGAGAAGAUGAGGAUGGAAGAGAUGGUGGUCACAGUUGGUGCCGGUUUGGAAGGUUCAAAGAAAAGUGUGACAGGGAACGUCUCCGCUGGGACAGAGAUGCAUUUCAAAAAGGACUCCAGGAUCCGCUACAUUCGCAUCCCGAUCGGCGACUUCACCAAGAUCGCGGGAGAAGGGGAGCUCUAUGCCUCUGUGUUCGUGGAGUGCAACAGCUCACCAGAAAAGUGUUUGAAUAACAUUUCCCUCAACUUCCAUGUCCCCAGUGAUCGAUCCUUCAUCGUGACUCCGAACGAGGGUAUCCGCUUCCAAAAAUACGGUGCGAGCAUUUGGGAGGAUGAGUAUGGGAACAAAUACCGAUGAAAAAAAUGUCAUUGCAUACAAAUAUGAAAUGUGAGAAAUUAGUGACAAACUAAAACAUGUGAUUACACAGAAUUAAAAAAGAAAAAUUUUUACUUCCUGCAGUUGAACAGAAUAUGUGCACUUUUUCAUUUUAAUCUCCCUGUUGGAUACAAAAUCUUGAUGCUUCCUUACAGGUUCAGAGCAAAAUAUUAUGCUUUUUGGAAUUUUCUUAAUUAUGUGUAAGCAGACAUUGGGCCUGAAUGUUAACUGGAAAAAAUUAUGAUUAUUUCUGAUAACCAGUCAUAUGUUAAAAACCAUUUUGAUCAACAAAGUUUAUGUUGUACGUUGUUGGCCAGUCAAAAGUCUCCCUGAAUAUUACAUGUAUCUGAACACUGUUCUCCCCAUUUGGCAUCUUUGUACUGUUCAUGAACCCGUCUGUUCAUAUGUUCAGUUCAGCCUGCAGGGCUCUUGAGACAAUAAAGAAAACUUUCCAGUUAGGUUGUAUUGCGCU